RNAcentral lists this ribosomal RNA (124 nucleotides) under Cladophialophora sp. RNAcentral describes it as "partial large subunit ribosomal RNA". Lineage: Eukaryota; Fungi; Ascomycota; Eurotiomycetes; Chaetothyriales; Herpotrichiellaceae. The record is from RNAcentral.
CGAGUUGUAAUUUGUAGAGGAUGUUUUGGGUACCGCGCUGGUUUAAAUUUCUUGGAACAGAAUGUCAGAGAGGGUGAGAAUCCCGUCUUGGACCGGCGUAGGGCCCGUGUAAAACUCCUUCGAC